CGAGCGGCGACGGGUGAGUAACACGUGGGUGAUCUGCCCUGCACUUCGGGAUAAGCCUGGGAAACUGGGUCUAAUACCGGAUAUGACCUCCUAUCGCAUGGUGGGUGGUGGAAAGAUUUAUCGGUGCAGGAUGGGCCCGCGGCCUAUCAGCUUGUUGGUGGGGUAAUGGCCUACCAAGGCGACGACGGGUAGCCGACCUGAGAGGGUGACCGGCCACACUGGGACUGAGACACGGCCCAGACUCCUACGGGAGGCAGCAGUGGGGAAUAUUGCACAAUGGGCGAAAGCCUGAUGCAGCGACGCCGCGUGAGGGAUGACGGCCUUCGGGUUGUAAACCUCUUUCAGCAGGGACGAAGCGCAAGUGACGGUACCUGCAGAAGAAGCACCGGCUAACUACGUGCCAGCAGCCGCGGUAAUACGUAGGGUGCAAGCGUUGUCCGGAAUUACUGGGCGUAAAGAGUUCGUAGGCGGUUUGUCGCGUCGUUUGUGAAAACCAGCAGCUCAACUGCUGGCUUGCAGGCGAUACGGGCAGACUUGAGUACUGCAGGGGAGACUGGAAUUCCUGGUGUAGCGGUGAAAUGCGCAGAUAUCAGGAGGAACACCGGUGGCGAAGGCGGGUCUCUGGGCAGUAACUGACGCUGAGGAACGAAAGCGUGGGUAGCGAACAGGAUUAGAUACCCUGGUAGUCCACGCCGUAAACGGUGGGCGCUAGGUGUGGGUUCCUUCCACGGAAUCCGUGCCGUAGCUAACGCAUUAAGCGCCCCGCCUGGGGAGUACGGCCGCAAGGCUAAACUCAAGGAAUUGACGGGGGCCCGCACAAGCGGCGAGCAUGUGGAUUAUUCGAUGCACGCGAGA
RNAcentral lists this ribosomal RNA (855 nucleotides) under Rhodococcus sp. (in: high G+C Gram-positive bacteria). Its description in RNAcentral is "bacterial SSU rRNA". It matches the Rfam family "Bacterial small subunit ribosomal RNA", at positions 92 to 966 of the family's 1533-position model. Lineage: Bacteria; Bacillati; Actinomycetota; Actinomycetes; Mycobacteriales; Nocardiaceae. The record is from RNAcentral.